AUGCCCAUCAGUAUUGGCAGUGUGGGCUUGCUCCAGGAUGGUAGCCUCUCCCAGUUAGCUCUGACCCAGUCAGAUGCAGCACUGAAGAAACCAGGAGAAUCCCAUAAAUUGAAUUGUGCUGUCACAGGAUUCAACAUUAACAGCUACUGGAUGGGUGGCCUCUCCCAGGUAGCGUUGACCCAGUCAGAUGCAGCGCUGAAGAAACCAGGAGAAUCCCAUAAAUUGACUUGUGCUGUCACAGGAUUCAAUGUUAACAGCUACUGGAUGGGUUGGUUCAGACAGAAACCUAGCCAAGGACUGGAAUGGCUUGUUUUCUACUACAUAUCUAGUAGCAACAAUUAUUCCCCAACAAUCCAAGGACGUUUUACUGCCUCCAAGGACAGUUCCAACUUCUAUUUGCAAAUGAACAACCUAAAAGCCGAAGACACAGCUGUCUAUUACUGUGCAAGAUACACAGUGAAAUAG
Thamnophis elegans (Western terrestrial garter snake) is the source of this 465-nucleotide non-coding RNA. Lineage: Eukaryota; Metazoa; Chordata; Lepidosauria; Squamata; Natricidae. The record is from the annotation of a RefSeq genome assembly.